Molecule: unclassified non-coding RNA, 566 nt
Filed under: Hevea brasiliensis (rubber tree)
Lineage: Eukaryota; Viridiplantae; Streptophyta; Magnoliopsida; Malpighiales; Euphorbiaceae
Source: RNAcentral
GUUGAAUUUAGUUCUUCAAUUCUGAUUUAAAAACAAACAUCAGACACUCUUCCAUUUCAUCCAAACAAAAUAUAGGGAUAAAAUCAAGAUAAACACAUCAUACAAUCAAAAGAUAAAUAUAAAAUAUCAACAACAAACACUUCCAUUUUUUCUCUAUCAAUUCCAAUAAUCAACAAUCAAUCAAAAUAGAUCCUUGAAAUUAAUAAUUUCAAAAUAGAACAAAACUUAGAACAAAAUGGAGUUUAGAGGGUGGAGAACUGUGGCAUAGUGAGCGAUGUGGUGAGGCAGCUGGCACAACAACAAUAGGUUCAUUAUGUUCGUUACAUGAGGCAAUGAGGUAUUGCAAGGGAUAGAGCGAAGGACGAAACAAACAGCGAUGGUCCCUCUCAGCAUUGCCCUUCCUCACUUGGUUCAUAGGCCACCAUGGGUAAGAAAAUAAGGCAGUUCAUAGUCAUUUAUAGGAAGCCUUCAAAUGGGUAACGAUGGGAAUGGAAGAACGACGAGAAGAAGGAAAUCAUCAAAUCAGCAAGAAGACUUUUAGUCUUAUGUUUCGGAUUUAACGAUGA